AUUUAAUAUACUAAUUUUUAUUAUUUCUAUUAGUUUCAGCUAUGAUGAUGGUUGUUUGGUUAAUCUUGGCCAUAUGAUUGAAAAUCCUUAAAUGAAUAAUGAAGUUUAUGAAGCUCGAUAUUAGUUAACAUAUAUAUAUUUAUGUUAACUUAUAUGAGUUAACUAUAUUUAGUUAAUAUAAUUUUUUUUAAAAAAAAUUAAGUAUUUAUUUAUAUAUUUAUUAGAAUCCUAAAUUCCAUAUUCCUAAAACCUACCCC
RNAcentral lists this long non-coding RNA (257 nucleotides) under Brassica napus (rape). RNAcentral describes it as "long non-coding RNA (BNAP_LNC011248)". The record is from RNAcentral. Lineage: Eukaryota; Viridiplantae; Streptophyta; Magnoliopsida; Brassicales; Brassicaceae.